RNAcentral lists this ribosomal RNA (497 nucleotides) under uncultured bacterium. Its description in RNAcentral is "partial 16S ribosomal RNA". It matches the Rfam family "Bacterial small subunit ribosomal RNA", at positions 28 to 507 of the family's 1533-position model. The record is from RNAcentral.
GAUGAACGCUGGCGGCGUGCCUAAUACAUGCCAGUCGAGCGAACAGACGAGGAGCUUGCUCCUCUGACGUUAGCGGCGGACGGGUGAGUAACACGUGGAUAACCUACCUAUAAGACUGGGAUAACUUCGGGAAACCGGAGCUAAUACCGGAUAAUAUAUUGAACCGCAUGGUUCAAUAGUGAAAGACGGUUUUGCUGUCACUUAUAGAUGGAUCCGCGCCGCAUUAGCUAUUUGGUAAGGUAACGGCUUACCAAGGCGACGAUGCGUAGCCGACCUGAGAGGGUGAUCGGCCACACUGGAACUGAGACACGGUCCAGACUCCUACGGGAGGCAGCAGUAGGGAAUCUUCCGCAAUGGGCGAAAGCCUGACGGAGCAACGCCGCGUGAGUGAUGAAGGUCUUCGGAUCGUAAAACUCUGUUAUUAGGGAAGAACAAAUGUGUAAGUAACUAUGCACGUCUUGACGGUACCUAAUCAGAAAGCCACGGCUAACUACGUG